Canis lupus familiaris (dog) is the source of this 2247-nucleotide long non-coding RNA. RefSeq lists it as uncharacterized. The transcript is spliced from 3 exons. NCBI's taxonomy places the organism in Eukaryota, Metazoa, Chordata, Mammalia, Carnivora, Canidae. The record is from RefSeq and is a predicted model, not a curated record.
UGCUUAACUGACUGAGCCAUUCAGGAGUCUCAACAGUCUCCCUUCCUAAAACAAACCCUGACUCUUCUGAGCUUCAAGCGAGGAGGCAAUGGGGGCAUCUUCAUUUGAGGAGGGCACUUUGCAAACAUCUCUUUGCCUGUGGGUUUUGCCUUUCCUUUGAGCACCACUCUCCCUGGUCACACGAGUUGGGGGGGGGAACGUCUCUUUCUCAUGUUGCCUUUAGUACAACUGAGGCAGAUUGGAAUUCUAAAUGGGGACUUGAUGUUAAAAAAAAAAGGAGAAAGAAAAUAAGGCACAAAGACAGUUGCAGUAUCAAAGCAUAAUUUAUUGACGCUACACAAGAACUUCUUGUACCCAGCCCCUUCCCCCACACUCUUUAUAAGUCCCUAGAAAAAUCUCUCUUACAGUGUUUAAGCUCUUCCUAGGUUGGAAGCCUUGGGAAACAGGUUCCCAAGUGUCUGAUGAGUAACCAGUAGACUGCUCAGGCUUCCUGGGUCUAGAGCAACAGAAGCAAGCAGACAAACAAAAGCCCCCCCAUCCCCCGCUCCAGCAGAGGACAGCCUGCUCCAGCAGAGGACAGCCUGUAGCCAUCAGAACCUGAGGCCCCAGGAAGAGGACUGCAGCCAGAGCCCAGAGGGGUGGAGAGGGCUGCCCAACUGCAUCAGCGGGCCCCUCUCCCCAGGCAGCCCUGGGCCUGAUCCCCCCACGCUGUUCUCCUGGCUGCUUGAGUUCCUUGGAUCCCAACAAUACUUAAUGUAGACAUGUCACCCCCACGGUCUGGGGGAGAGAGCUCAAGUCGACCACCUUCCAUUUAGCACCAGGGAAGCCUGUUCUGGGCCCCGGAGAACUCAGAGCCAGGACAGGGCUCCAGGGCAGGGCUGGAGGUUGGGUGGGGACAGGACAGCUAAGGUGCUGCCCAGAACUAGACCCUCUCCUCCUGAAAACAGAGAUACUCGGCUGGUGGUGCGAGGUAUUAGCUAGGAUGCCAUGGGACUGGCUUCUGCGCUUCACAGGACAGAAGGAGCGCUCCCGAGCACCUGCUGGAUGCGAGCACUCUAAUGCUUACGUGCAGUCACGCCACCCCCAGCAGCUCGGUGGAACAGGGGCAGAAAUGAGGAAGAGCACGCAACGACGAGUAGUGUUGCUGUAGAGUGCGCGGAGGUUCCUGUGGACACGUGUCUCAUCUCUAGGGGAAAUACCCAGGCCGGGGAUUUCUGAACGGUAAGGUGGCGGCCGCGUCUAGAGGACGGAGCUACGGAUGCCCCAGCCCCGCUACGGAUGUCUCCCGCUCCCGGAGACGGAGCUACGGAUAUCUCCCGCUCCCGCUGGGAGACAACCCUGGGAUUCAAAAACCCAACCCCAAAUGUGCUUCAAGCAGUUCCCCUGCGGACACGCAGCCGUGCCUACCGGACACCCCUCUGGGCCAGCCCCGCCGCCUCUCUGGGCGACAGCCCGGUCCCCCAGAUCCCCGCCCUCCCUGCAGGUCCUGUGAGUGGUCCCCAAUCCCCACGGUGUGCAGGGAUUCUUCGGUGGGAGGAGCUGCUCCCCGGGGGCUGGGAGCCCAGGAACUGUGAGGAGAGCUUGGAGAGUGGUCCCCGAGGGCCCGAGUGCAGGAGGCCCGCCCGAGCCCCCGCAGCCCUUGCGGCGGCCUGCCCUGGCCACAGCUCACAGCCCCGCGCUCUGGGGCAGCGGGGUCUCCGCAGGUGCAGAGGCAGCCCCGUGGACUGACAGCUGGGGUGCUGAGCGGGGUGAAGGGCUCCAGCGGGGCGUGGGGGCAGUGGAAGGCUGCUGCGGCCGCGGUCCCAGAGGAGGGCAGAGACACGCAGGAGAACAAAUCCGCGCGGCUCCCGGGCUCCCCGGAGUCCAAGGUAUUCUGUUCCCGUGAGGCAGGCUGGCCAGGUCCCAGGCCCCACCCCCUGGAGCCGGGACAUUUUGCCAAGAGAGGAGAGGAAUGAAACCUGCAAAGGUGGGCGCGGCUGGGAGUUCAGGCUGUGCUCCCCGGGGCUGCUGUGCGGCCCUGGGACAGGCUGGGUAAGGGGCUGUCAAGAAGGAAAAACCUUAGAGGUGGAUCAUCUGCUCCAAAUUCCUCCUCCCCACAGGUGAGCUCUCUGAGUGAGGCCCAGGGCGGGGAAGGAGCUUGCUAGUGGUCACACUGCUAAAGUAGUAAAGAAUAAACCAGAGCCCAGUCUCUGGACUCCUUUUCUUUUCUUUUCUUUUCUUUUCUUUUCUUUUCUUUUCUUUUCUUUU